GAUGAAUGCUGGCGGCGUGCCUAACACAUGCAAGUCGAGCGGCAGCGAGGGGUGCUUGCACCCUGUCGGCGAGCGGCGAACGGCUGAGUAACGCGUAGGAAUUUGCCCCAAAGUGGGGAAUAACUGCCCGAAAGGGUAGCUAAUGCCGCAUAUGGUCUUCGGAUUAAAGGAUUUAUCCGCUUUGGGAGAAGCCUGCGUUGGAUUAGGUUGUUGGUAGGGUAAUGGCCUACCAAGCCGACGAUCCAUAGCUGGUCUGAGAGGAUGAUCAGCCAGACUGGAACUGAGACACGGUCCAGACUCCUACGGGAGGCAGCAGUGAGGAAUCUUCCACAAUGGGCGAAAGCCUGAUGGAGCAACGCCGCGUGAAGGAUGAAGGCCUUCGGGUUGUAAACUUCUUUUAUGAGUGAAGAAUAUGACGGUAACUCAUGAAUAAGCACCGGCUAACUACGUG
RNAcentral lists this ribosomal RNA (451 nucleotides) under uncultured bacterium. RNAcentral describes it as "partial 16S ribosomal RNA". It matches the Rfam family "Bacterial small subunit ribosomal RNA", at positions 28 to 507 of the family's 1533-position model. The record is from RNAcentral.